GACGAACGCUGGCGGCGUGCUUAACACAUGCAAGUCGAACGGAAAGGCCCUGCUUUUGUGGGUUGCUCGAUUGGCGAACGGGUGAGUAUCACGUGAGUAACCCGCCCUUGACUUUGUGAUAACUUCUGGAAACUGGGGCUAAUACCCGAUAGGAGCUCCUGCUGCAUGGUGUGGGUUGGAAAGUUUCGGUGGUUGGGGAUGGACUCGCGGCUUAUCCGCUUGUUGGUGGGGUAGUGGCUUACCAAGGCUUUGACGGGUAGCCGGCCUGAGAGGGUGACCGGCCACAUUGGGACUGAGAUACGGCCCAGACUCCUACGGGAGGCAGCAGUGGGGAAUAUUGCACAAUGGGCGGAAGCCUGAUGCAGCAACGCCGCGUGCGGGAUGACGGCCUUCGGGUUGUAAACCGCUUUCGCCUGUGACGAAGCGUGAGUGACGGUAAUGGGUAAAGAAGCACCGGCUAACUACGUG
RNAcentral lists this ribosomal RNA (468 nucleotides) under uncultured bacterium. RNAcentral describes it as "partial 16S ribosomal RNA". It matches the Rfam family "Bacterial small subunit ribosomal RNA", at positions 28 to 507 of the family's 1533-position model. The record is from RNAcentral.